GUUUCUAUAGUUUAAUUUAAAAUGUUAAAUUGCAAAUUUAAAGAUAAUUUUAUUUAGAAAUU
Molecule: transfer RNA, 62 nt
Filed under: Andrena angustior
Lineage: Eukaryota; Metazoa; Arthropoda; Insecta; Hymenoptera; Andrenidae
Description: tRNA-Cys
Source: RNAcentral